Molecule: long non-coding RNA, 970 nt
Organism: Salvia miltiorrhiza (redroot sage)
Lineage: Eukaryota; Viridiplantae; Streptophyta; Magnoliopsida; Lamiales; Lamiaceae
Exons: 2
Source: RefSeq, a predicted model, not a curated record
CGUAAAAUACACGAACUUUCAAUAAAUUCUGGUUUUUCCCUCAACCUUUAAAAUUUGAAAAAUAAUACACCACCUUUCAAUUUUUUCUGAUUUUUCCCACGCAUCUAAAAUACCCAAAAUCGAAGCUGAGGUGGCCGCCUGAAUUUCCAACGUGGCACAAUCGUCGGCUAUCUAAAACGACGUCGUUCUCAAUUGUAUGAGACGACGCCGUUUUGUGAGAGUUUUAAAACAAAAAUUAGGGAUCUUGAAAUCUGCAUUCUCUUCCUCUAUCCGGCAGCAAAUCUGCUCAAAGAAAAAUUGGGGUUCUUCAAAACAUUGACAAAUAUGCUCAUCCAACAGCAAACCAAGCAAUGAAAAUCAGCAAUUCGAACAAUGAAUCUUCUCAUCCUCACAACAUUUGCACAUCUUCAGCAAUUUAGGUGAAGAAAUCGAGAAGCCAUGUCUAUGGGAAACAACUAGUCAUCACGCUCACCCUCAAAUUCUCAAAUGGCGCCCGAAAUUCCGCUACGAAUUUACAAGCAUGAGAUACCUGUGGUCAUCCAGACUUCACAUACCAUGGGAAGAUUGUGGCUUUUGGGAGUGGAUUGACCCAGAAUUGACAACGCACUACAAAGCUUGUUUUCUGACAAUGAAAUCAGAGAGAGAUAAAGCCUUGGAGCAACUGCACAAUCGAAGCUUGAUGGAUGAUGUGAAUUACGAUAGAGUUGGAGAUUCAGAUUCACUAGAGGAAUUCGACGAACUCGUACAUAUGCUGUAGAAAAAACAUUGACUAAAUAAAUGGAGAUGAGCCUCAAAAGGAUGAAGUUGAGGAUCAAAAUGAUGAAUUUUGCAUUUGGUUUUAUUGUAGUGAUGUUACUUGUUGUGAAGUAUGUUUGAGUAUUUUUGUUUGAGCAGCUCGAUACUUUUGUGAUUGAAGACUUUUGCUUGAGCUUGAUUAUAUGAUGUAAAAUAAGAUAGUAGAGUUGUUUGA